GACGAACGCUGGCGGCGUGCUUAACACAUGCAAGUCGAACGGAAAGGCCCUGCUUUUGUGGGGUGCUAGAGUGGCGAACAGGUGAGUAACACGUGAGUAACCUGCCCUUGACUUUGGGAUAACUUCAGGAAACUCGGGCUAAUACCGGAUAGGAGCUGCUGCUGCAUGGUGGGGGUUGGAAAGUUUCGGCGGUUGGGUGUGGACUCGGGUACUCUCACCCUGUUGGUGGGGUAGUGGCUUACCAAGGCUUUGACGGGUAGCCGGCCUGACGGGGUGACCGGCCACAUUGCGCCUGAGCGCCGGCCCAGACUCCUACGGGAGGCAGCAGUCGCGAAUAUUGCACGGUGGGCGGAAGCCUGAUGCAGCACAGAACCGUGCGGGAUGACGGCCUUCGGGUUGUAAACCGGUUGCGCCUGUGACGAAGCGUGAGUGACGGUAAUGGGUAAAGAAGCACCGGCUAACUACGUG
This 468-nucleotide ribosomal RNA is filed under the name uncultured bacterium. Its description in RNAcentral is "partial 16S ribosomal RNA". It matches the Rfam family "Bacterial small subunit ribosomal RNA", at positions 28 to 507 of the family's 1533-position model. The record is from RNAcentral.